RNAcentral lists this ribosomal RNA (253 nucleotides) under uncultured bacterium. Its description in RNAcentral is "partial 16S ribosomal RNA". It matches the Rfam family "Bacterial small subunit ribosomal RNA", at positions 524 to 776 of the family's 1533-position model. The record is from RNAcentral.
GACAGAGGUGCCGAGCGUUAGGCGGAAUCACUGGGCUUAAAGCGUGUGUAGGCGGGCCGUUAAGCAUCUUGUGAAAUCCCCCGGCUCAACCGGGGAAUGGCUGGAUAUACUGGCGGUCUUGAGCAGUCUAGGGGCAGAUGGAACAGACGGUGGAGCGGAGAAAUGCGUAGAUAUCGUCUGGAACGCCAAAGGUGAAGACAGUCUGCUGGGGACUUGCUGACGCUGAGACACGAAAGCCAGGGGAGCGAACGGG